AUAGCGUAUAUUAAAGUUGUUGCAGUUAAAAAGCUCGUAGUUGAAUAUCUGGCCGGUGCUGUUCUUGGCUCCCUGAGUCGGUGCAGCGCCUGGUUAUCCGUAUGGGAAACCAGCUCGACCUUCACUGUGUCGGCUGGCGGAUCAUACACUUUACUUUGAAAAAAUUAGAGUGUUUCAGGCAGGCAAUUGCUUGGAUACUGUAGCAUGGAAUAAUGGAAUAGGACUUUGACCUAUUUGUUGGUUUCUCGAGGUCAAAGUAAUGAUUAAUAGGGACAGUUGGGGGCAUUCGUAUUUAAUUGUCAGAGGUGAAAUUCUUGGAUUUUUUAAAGACGAACUUAUG
This 340-nucleotide ribosomal RNA is filed under the name Bresslaua vorax. RNAcentral describes it as "SSU rRNA". It matches the Rfam family "Eukaryotic small subunit ribosomal RNA", at positions 594 to 945 of the family's 1831-position model. Lineage: Eukaryota; Ciliophora; Colpodea; Colpodida; Colpodidae. The record is from RNAcentral. RNAcentral also lists the same sequence under 1 other name.